GAUGAACGCUGGCGGCGUGCCUAAUACAUGCAAGUCGAGCGAACAGAUGAGGAGCUUGCUCCUCUGACGUUAGCGGCGGACGGGUGAGUAACACGUGGAUAACCUACCUAUAAGACUGGGAUAACUUCGGGAAACCGGAGCUAAUACCGGAUAAUAUAUUGAACCGCAUGGUUCAAUAGUGAAAGACGGUUUUGCUGUCACUUAUAGAUGGAUCCGCGCCGCAUUAGCUAGUUGGUAAGGUAACGGCUUACCAAGGCAACGAUGCGUAGCCGACCUGAGAGGGUGAUCGGCCACACUGGAACUGAGACACGGUCCAGACUCCUACGGGAGGCAGCAGUAGGGAAUCUUCCGCAAUGGGCGAAAGCCUGACGGAGCAACGCCGCGUGAGUGAUGAAGGUCUUCGGAUCGUAAAACUCUGUUAUUAGGGAAGAACAAAUGUGUAAGUAACUAUGCAUGUCUUGACGGUACCUAAUCAGAAAGCCACGGCUAACUACGUG
Molecule: ribosomal RNA, 497 nt
Filed under: uncultured bacterium
Lineage: Bacteria
Description: partial 16S ribosomal RNA
Rfam family: Bacterial small subunit ribosomal RNA
Source: RNAcentral